GUACGGCGAGUGAGCGGCAAAAGCUCAAAUUUGAAAUCCCCCCGGGGAGUUGUAAUUUGAAGAUUGCGUCUUGGAGGCGACCGUGUCUAUGUUCCUUGGAACAGGACGUCACAGAGGGUGAGAAUCCCGUGCGGCACGGCCCCCGGCUCCUUAUAAGGCGCUCUCGACGAGUCGAGUUGUUUGGGAAUGCAGCUCAAAGUGGGUGGUAAAUUCCAUCUAAAGCUAAAUACAGGCGAGAGACCGAUAGCGAACAAGUACAGUGAUGGAAAGAUGAAAAGCACUUUGAAAAGAGAGUGAAACAGCACGUGAAAUUGUUGAAAGGGAAGGGCAUGCCGUCAGAUUGUCAGUGUGGGUAAGAAGCGGGGUACAAAGACUGUGGAACGUGGCCCUCGGGUGUUAUAGCCGCAGUUCAUGCCCCGUCUCUUUCCGAGGCCUGCUUUGAGGACACCGACGUAAUGACGGUACGCCGCCCGUCUUGA
RNAcentral lists this ribosomal RNA (479 nucleotides) under Kodamaea ohmeri. RNAcentral's name for it is "eukaryotic LSU rRNA". It matches the Rfam family "Eukaryotic large subunit ribosomal RNA", at positions 83 to 657 of the family's 3401-position model. Lineage: Eukaryota; Fungi; Ascomycota; Pichiomycetes; Serinales; Debaryomycetaceae. The record is from RNAcentral.